RNAcentral lists this ribosomal RNA (420 nucleotides) under bacterium. RNAcentral's name for it is "partial 16S ribosomal RNA". It matches the Rfam family "Bacterial small subunit ribosomal RNA", at positions 355 to 776 of the family's 1533-position model. The record is from RNAcentral.
UGGGGGAUAUUGCACAAUGGGCGGAAGCCUGAUGCAGCGACGCCGCGUGGGGGAUGAAGGCUUUCGGGUUGUAAACCUCUUUCGCUAUCGAACAAGGCCCGCUUAGGGUGGGUUGAGGGUAGGUGGAGAAGAAGCGCCGGCUAACUACGUGCCAGCAGCCGCGGUAAUACGUAGGGCGCGAGCGUUGUCCGGAAUUAUUGGGCGUAAAGGGCUUGUAGGCGGCUUGUUGCGCCUGCUGUGAAAACGCGGGGCUUAACUUCGCGCGUGCAGUGGGUACGGGCAGGCUUGAGUGUGGUAGGGGUGACUGGAAUUCCAGGUGUAGCGGUGGAAUGCGCAGAUAUCUGGAGGAACACCGAUGGCGAAGGCAGGUCACUGGGCCAUUACUGACGCUGAGGAGCGAAAGCAUGGGUAGCGAACAGG